Molecule: long non-coding RNA, 1225 nt
Organism: Dendroctonus ponderosae (mountain pine beetle)
Lineage: Eukaryota; Metazoa; Arthropoda; Insecta; Coleoptera; Curculionidae
Exons: 2
Source: RefSeq, a predicted model, not a curated record
UUUUAAAGGAUAACUCCCGAAAACUCAUAGUACAAAAAAGGGAGUUUUUUCGUUGGUAAGAAUCCAACACUACCCAGCGUUCGGAACACUGGGUGUCUUCGCGAAGAUUUUUAUUUCUCCAGCCGCCGGGCAACCAAAAUUGCUUAAAUCGUGUUAUUUUCUGAUAAGGAGUUUGUGGCUAAGCGCUUUGUAAAGUCAUUUCUGGGACACUCUGUAUAAUAUAUUAUAGCAGUAUACUGCGAUUAUUGCGUUAUUCCUUGUUUUUGUGCAGGGUUUUCGAUUUGUCAUUUGCAAACUUAACUCGCCUGAUCAGGGCUAGUAGAGAUCCCAAACUGGUCCUGGGAGUGCUUGCUAGCAAACUUGUCACAAAACUUUACGCAUGUAUAAGCAAUCAGUAAAUUAAACUUUUUUCAGACGUUCUUAUCAUGAUAUGACACAUGCGUGAAAAUUAUGAAAAAGUUAAGUUGACAUUGGGUUAUUUUAGGUCAAUUUGGCCUAACUUCGGCUUUGUUGAUCCUGCCUAUAGUCAGAGGAAGCCUAUUUUCAUAUUUUCUGGUAGAUACCAAAAUUGCGCUUCUUGCCUUAAAUAUUCUUUGGACGGUAAAUAACAGUAAAGGAAAAUGUAAGGUUAUGUCCACUCACUGUUUAUUUAUGGGUCUUCUUUACAGUUUACUCGUCAGAGCAGGAUAUAUUUAUACUCUCGUAAAGAUGAUCUCGCAUUCCAUCUAUAAAAGCGACGCUUAACAUGCAUCUAUUAAAUUCCAAUUUAUGGCAAAAUGGUGAUGCACAGAGCAUUAUUCACCUGGUUUAUUCUUCUAAUCUUUUUUAUCCUGCUAUGCCUGCGACUAGAGGCGAGAACACAUUGGAAUUGGUUCUUGAUUUUUCUGCCUAUGUGGCUUUAUGACCUAAUAUUACUGAUAGAUGCUUUAUUUCACAUUGUAGCUUCAUGCCUGCAGGAUAGAUUCAGAGAUCUUGUAAGCAACAAGAAUAUGUUAUCCUUUGCAAUAGUCAUAUUUCUCAUAGCAGGACAAAUUAUGGUCUGCCUUAAGUUGGAAUACCGCUCUUUACAUUUGCAGCUAGCAUAUGUUCUGAUUCCUUUCUGGGUAUUACUACCUUUAUUAAUUGGUGGCAUUUCGGUUACCCUUUUUAAGCCAACAUAUUAAUUUACUUGUACAUACUUAAGUUGCUGUUAUACGCAGAUGUUUAAUUAAAACAUUCACAAGUC